UACAGAGGGGGCGAGCGUUGUUCGGAAUCACUGGGUGUAAAGGGUGCGUAGGCGGUCGGGUAAGUCUGUCGUGAAAUCUCCGAGCCCAACUCGGAAACUGCGUCGGAUACUAUUCGGCUAGAGGAAUGGAGGGGAGACUGGAAUUCUCGGUGUAGCAGUGAAAUGCGUAGAUAUCGAGAGGAACACCAGCGGCGAAGGCGAGUCUCUGGACAUUUCCUGACGCUGAGGCACGAAAGCCAGGGGAGCAAACGGG
RNAcentral lists this ribosomal RNA (253 nucleotides) under uncultured bacterium. RNAcentral describes it as "partial 16S ribosomal RNA". It matches the Rfam family "Bacterial small subunit ribosomal RNA", at positions 524 to 776 of the family's 1533-position model. The record is from RNAcentral.